Macrobrachium nipponense is the source of this 440-nucleotide long non-coding RNA. RefSeq lists it as uncharacterized. The transcript is spliced from 4 exons. Lineage: Eukaryota; Metazoa; Arthropoda; Malacostraca; Decapoda; Palaemonidae. The record is from RefSeq and is a predicted model, not a curated record.
CAGAAAACCAGGACCCCCUCCAUGAUGCAGGCUAUGGGGCCACAUAAAACUUUGUCCAGGGUUACUACAUAACAUAAAGAACCCCCUGAAUGAUGUAGGCUAUGGGGCCACAUAAGACUUUGUCCAUCCAGGGUUACGAUGAAUGCAAAAUUUAAACUAAAGAACCCCCUGAAUGAUGUAGGCUAUGGGGCCACAUAAGACUUUGUCCAUCCAGGGUUAUGAUGAAUGCAAAAUUUAAACUAAAGAGCUACCAGACUGGGAUUUUAGUGUACUCCAGGAUCUAACAAAUACAUACGUACUACUACGAAGUGUGCAAUGCAUAAUAUAGUGUAUAGUGUUUAGUGUAUACCCUAAGGAUUAAGUGUAGUACAUUGUGCUUUUUAGUGUCACAAGAGUUUAAUAAAGAAUUAUACCUUCAAGAACCAUCCUUUGCCAUUGGA